AUCCAGCCGGUGAGUCCCAAAUAGGACGAAAUGAGUAUCUUGGAU
Molecule: non-coding RNA, 45 nt
Filed under: Schistosoma margrebowiei
Lineage: Eukaryota; Metazoa; Platyhelminthes; Trematoda; Strigeidida; Schistosomatidae
Source: RNAcentral